This 130-nucleotide small nucleolar RNA is filed under the name Mus pahari (shrew mouse). RNAcentral describes it as "predicted gene, 24505 (MGP_PahariEiJ_G0033929.1)". It matches the Rfam family "Small nucleolar RNA SNORA17". From Rfam's summary of the family: snoRNA ACA 17 belongs to the H/ACA family of snoRNAs and is predicted to guide pseudouridylation of the 28S rRNA at positions U4659 and U4598. It shares the same host gene together with ACA43. Lineage: Eukaryota; Metazoa; Chordata; Mammalia; Rodentia; Muridae. The record is from RNAcentral.
CCUGCCCCUAGCAGGUGUGGCUGCUGUGUUCCAUGUGCAUCAGUAGCAGUCAGAGAGGAGAGAGGCUGUGUCUACACUCAGUGUUCUGACCUGUGGACAUCUGAAUGAUCUGUAGCCUAAUGCUCCCUGA